GGUUAAGUGACUAAGCGUACACGGUGGAUGCCUGGGCAGUCAGAGGCGAUGAAGGACGUACUAACUUGCGAUAAGCGCAGAUAAGGCAGUAAGAGCCGUUUGAGUCUGCGAUUUCCGAAUGGGGAAACCCAACUGCAUAAGCAGUUACUGUUAACUGAAUACAUAGGUUAACAGAGCAAACCGGGGGAACUGAAACAUCUAAGUACCCCGAGGAGAAGAAAUCAACCGAGAUUCCGGUAGUAGCGGCGAGCGA
RNAcentral lists this ribosomal RNA (253 nucleotides) under Vibrio cholerae. RNAcentral's name for it is "partial 23S ribosomal RNA". It matches the Rfam family "Bacterial large subunit ribosomal RNA", at positions 1 to 256 of the family's 2925-position model. The record is from RNAcentral. Lineage: Bacteria; Pseudomonadati; Pseudomonadota; Gammaproteobacteria; Vibrionales; Vibrionaceae.